AGUGAACGCUGGCGGUAGGCCUAACACAUGCAAGUCGAACGGCAGCACAGUAAGAGCUUGCUCUUACGGGUGGCGAGUGGCGGACGGGUGAGGAAUACAUCGGAAUCUACUUUUUCGUGGGGGAUAACGUAGGGAAACUUACGCUAAUACCGCAUACGACCUACGGGUGAAAGCAGGGGAUCUUCGGACCUUGCGCGAUUGAAUGAGCCGAUGUCGGAUUAGCUAGUUGGCGGGGUAAAGGCCCACCAAGGCGACGAUCCGUAGCUGGUCUGAGAGGAUGAUCAGCCACACUGGAACUGAGACACGGUCCAGACUCCUACGGGAGGCAGCAGUGGGGAAUAUUGGACAAUGGGCGCAAGACUGAUCCAGCCAUACCGCGUGGGUGAAGAAGGCCUUCGGGUUGUAAAGCCCUUUUGUUGGGAAAGAAAAGCAGCAGGUUAAUACCCCGCUGUUCUGACGGUACCCAAAGGAUAAGCACCGGCUAACUUCGUG
Molecule: ribosomal RNA, 492 nt
Filed under: uncultured bacterium
Lineage: Bacteria
Description: partial 16S ribosomal RNA
Rfam family: Bacterial small subunit ribosomal RNA
Source: RNAcentral